RNAcentral lists this long non-coding RNA (515 nucleotides) under Homo sapiens (human). RNAcentral describes it as "HSALNT0024963". Lineage: Eukaryota; Metazoa; Chordata; Mammalia; Primates; Hominidae. The record is from RNAcentral.
UACGUCAAGAAAGAAGAGAUUAUAAAUGUCUAGCAGGGACUGUUAGAAAUAUAUUUGGUGCCCUUGAUGAUUUCUCAAUCAAGACAGGGAACACUGAGGUACAACCACAUAGAGCAUCGGAGCUGCUACGGUAAAGGGGAAGGAGAGAUUCCUACUCUGGUUGAUGACACUGGAUCCUUGCAAGCUGGACAUCUCGGAACAACAGACACAGCUGUUCAACCUCAGAGGUUCUAGACUUCCCAUGUUCCAAGUCCACUUCUGCCGGCAGAAUAGAAACCUCGUCAGUUAUCACAACUCAGGGAGGACAAAUGGAUUCCUGAGGUGCAGGGCAAUCAACAGAUGAGAUCCAAGAGUCAGAACCCUGGAAUGGACCACCAGAACUUUCCCAUGGAGCCCCAGGACUUCUUCCCCCAAUUCCUGCUGUUUCUCCUCCUCCCUGUAGCAGGCUUCUUAAAGCAGGAUGAAAAAGCCUCACAGCUUGCGGUGUUGACAGUAUUCUAGAAGACCCUACACCC